CCUACGGGGAGCAGCAGUGGGGAAUAUUGCACAAUGGGGGAAACCCUGAUGCAGCGACGCCGCGUGAGUGAAGAAGUAAUUCGUUAUGUAAAGCUCUAUCAGCAGGGAAGAAAAUGACGGUACCUGAGUCAGAAGCCCCGGCUAACUACGUGCCAGCAGCCGCGGUAAUACGUAGGGGGCAAGCGUUAUCCGGAUUUACUGGGUGUAAAGGGAGCGUAGACGGGAGUGCAAGUCUGGAGUGAAAGGCGGGGGCUCAACCCCCGGACUGCUCUGGAAACUGUACGGCUGGAGUGCAGGAGAGGUAAGUGGAAUUCCUAGUGUAGCGGUGAAAUGCGUAGAUAUUAGGAGGAACACCAGUGGCGAAGGCGGCUUACUGGACUGUAACUGACGUUGAGGCUCGAAAGCGUGGGGAGCAAACAGGAUUAGAUACCCUUGUAGUC
Molecule: ribosomal RNA, 440 nt
Filed under: uncultured bacterium
Lineage: Bacteria
Description: partial 16S ribosomal RNA
Rfam family: Bacterial small subunit ribosomal RNA
Source: RNAcentral